GUGCUAACUUUGGCAGCACAUACACUAAAAUUGGAGUGAUACAGAGAAGCUUAGCAUGGCCCCUGUGCAAGGAUGACACACAAAAUUGUGAAACAUUCCAUAUUUUU
Small nuclear RNA from Harpia harpyja (harpy eagle), 107 nucleotides. The record is from RefSeq and is a predicted model, not a curated record. NCBI's taxonomy places the organism in Eukaryota, Metazoa, Chordata, Aves, Accipitriformes, Accipitridae.